This 253-nucleotide ribosomal RNA is filed under the name uncultured bacterium. RNAcentral describes it as "partial 16S ribosomal RNA". It matches the Rfam family "Bacterial small subunit ribosomal RNA", at positions 524 to 776 of the family's 1533-position model. The record is from RNAcentral.
UACGUAGGGUGCAAGCGUUGUCCGGAAUUAUUGGGCGUAAAGAGCUCGUAGGCGGUUUGUCGCGUCGGCUGUGAAAACUCGGGGCUCAACCCCGAGCCUGCAGUCGAUACGGGCAAACUAGAGUGCUGUAGGGGAGACUGGAAUUCCUGGUGUAGCGGUGAAAUGCGCAGAUAUCAGGAGGAACACCGGUGGCGAAGGCGGUUCUCUGGGCCUUACCUGACGCUGAGGAGCGAAAGCGUGGGGAGCGAACAGG